This is a non-coding RNA of Fomitopsis betulina (razor strop fungus), 106 nucleotides long. The record is from the annotation of a GenBank genome assembly. Lineage: Eukaryota; Fungi; Basidiomycota; Agaricomycetes; Polyporales; Fomitopsidaceae.
GCCGUCGUGGCGCAAUGGUAGCGCAUCACCUUCCUACAUCUGUUAGCCAGUCACAGCUACUGAUGCAAUAAGGUGGGAGUUGCGGGUUCGAGCCCCGUCGACGGUA